GUUCACCUUACAAUUACAGCCGCUCCAUCCAUUGCUCUCGUUUCACUGUUUCAUUUCGCUUUAAUGGUAACCUGAAGAUCGCUUUACAAUUAUAGAUCACACAAGCUAAAGGUGUUUUCUACCGUCGAUUAUCCUCUCUUCGUCGCAUAUACGGUUAUGGUGCAAGUCAGAUGUGUAAGGACUGGAAAACGGGGUGCGGGUCUCAACACUCUCAUCAGUCGCAAUAUUCCGACCUAUCAUGAAAUGAGACGAAACAUUCAAGUUAGAAGGCCAUGUGUUCCAGCAUUGGGUGUCUUGUCGAGUGCAGUUCUUGAGUAUUGAUCUUCUGCUCCAUGUUGAGUACGCUAGACAAAUAAAUCCAUAGCACUAUUAUUAUAUAGGAACAUCAAUAACUGCAAGUACCAUUAUAUAACCUCUAGAGAAGUGGAGAUCAUGUGCACAAAAUGAGGAGCAAACCACCUGGUUACAAAACUGCAAAUAACUGCCACUUCAGCGGUUUUUGUAGGGAGUUUAAAGGGCUGGGAUUUAAUCUCAGCAAGAUCCAAUGGUCAAUAUUGAUUUGGAGGGUGGUUAGACUUAAUGGGUUCCAUAUAUAUAUAUAUAUAUAUAUAUAACUAUGUAAAUCCCCACGCAAAAGUAUUUCAAUUUAACCAUGUAUACUUAUACUUAUAUUGAGAUAAUUGCAUACCAACAACCCCGAAAAUUCCACCGGCUUUAACACAGCAACUGAAAAUCACCGACUCUCGCCACACCAAGCUCUGAUACCAAUUGUUGGAAAUCAAGCCCUUGAACGAACACGUAAACACGAUACUUGAACGAACUAUUCGACUCAUUUCAUUAUUUAUCAAUAAGAGCACACCAAUACAGUAACCCUAACCAAAGAUUUAUACUAAAACUUAUUCUAGUCCUAACCAGACUCAUCAAACUCUAUUUUAAAUAAUAAAAUAUUAACUAGAUAAACCUAUCUAAU
Molecule: long non-coding RNA, 970 nt
Filed under: Helianthus annuus (common sunflower)
Lineage: Eukaryota; Viridiplantae; Streptophyta; Magnoliopsida; Asterales; Asteraceae
Source: RNAcentral